AUUGAACGCUGGCGGAAUGCUUUACACAUGCAAGUCGAACGGCAGCACGGGGGCAACCCUGGUGGCGAGUGGCGAACGGGUGAGUAAUACAUCGGAACGUGCCCAGUCGUGGGGGAUAACGUAGCGAAAGCUACGCUAAUACCGCAUACGAUCUACGGAUGAAAGCGGGGGAUCGCAAGACCUCGCGCGAUUGGAGCGGCCGAUGGCAGAUUAGGUAGUUGGUGGGGUAAAGGCUCACCAAGCCUUCGAUCUGUAGCUGGUCUGAGAGGACGACCAGCCACACUGGGACUGAGACACGGCCCAGACUCCUACGGGAGGCAGCAGUGGGGAAUUUUGGACAAUGGGCGAAAGCCUGAUCCAGCCAUUCCGCGUGCAGGAUGAAGGCCCUCGGGUUGUAAACUGCUUUUGUACGGAACGAAACGGCCUUUUCUAAUACAGAGGGCUAAUGACGGUACCGUAAGAAUAAGCACCGGCUAACUACGUGCCAGCAGCCGCGGUAAAGUG
RNAcentral lists this ribosomal RNA (504 nucleotides) under uncultured bacterium. Its description in RNAcentral is "bacterial SSU rRNA". It matches the Rfam family "Bacterial small subunit ribosomal RNA", at positions 30 to 527 of the family's 1533-position model. The record is from RNAcentral.